GUGCUGGGCGGGAGCUUCGGGAGCCGGCGCACGGGACUCGAACCCCAAGGGCUCCCGCCGCCAGGUCCACGUGGACCCUGGGCCGCAGUGGAAGUGGAGCCCGCCCCCCGCGCGUGGGGGAGGGGGCGCCGCAGCCGGGUUCCCCUUUUUCUGGAGCUCAAAGCCUGGGGAAGUGAUUGCUCAAAGGUGGGGGCCGGAAGAACCCAGGUUUCCGCGUCUCCCUCCCCCUCUCAGCCCGGUGAGGAGGGGCCGGGGCGGGACACCCUGUCCGCCCCCGCCCCCACCCCGCUGGAUCUGGCAGCCACUCAGCCCUUCGAGCUGUAGGGGAGGCGCUGCGCCCCCGGCCCCAGCCGAUCGGGGGCUCCUGGCGCUAGCCUCCCUCCAGAGCGCCGCAGGAGUCCCUCCUGCCGUCUGACUUGAGUCCCUGCUGCUGCAGUGCACGCCCCUUCGGCAGCCAGGGUGGGGCCCAGACCCAACCUGGCCCCUCCUGCCCCCACCCCGCCUUUGGGUCGCUACCCCCAGGCUGUGGUGAGGGUCUGAGAGCUGGUACCACGGAGCCUGGGCAACCUCCUCCGCCCACCC
Molecule: long non-coding RNA, 582 nt
Filed under: Homo sapiens (human)
Lineage: Eukaryota; Metazoa; Chordata; Mammalia; Primates; Hominidae
Description: non-protein coding lnc-LKAAEAR1-2:2
Source: RNAcentral